GGGACGUAGCUCAGGGGUAGAGCGUUUCCUUGGUAAGGAAGAGGUCGUGAGUUCAAAUCUCAUCGUUG
This 68-nucleotide transfer RNA is filed under the name marine eukaryotic metagenome. It matches the Rfam family "tRNA", at positions 5 to 66 of the family's 71-position model. From Rfam's summary of the family: Transfer RNA (tRNA) molecules are approximately 80 nucleotides in length. Their secondary structure includes four short double-helical elements and three loops (D, anti-codon, and T loops). The record is from RNAcentral.